Molecule: unclassified non-coding RNA, 383 nt
Filed under: uncultured bacterium
Lineage: Bacteria
Description: contains 16S-23S intergenic spacer region
Source: RNAcentral
UCCGGAGUUUCUCCGGCAGUCUCACAUGAGUGCCCGGCAUAACCCGAUGGCAACAUGCGAUGGGGGUUGCGCUCGUUGCGGCACUUAAGCCAACACCUCACGGCACGAGCUGACGACAGCCAUGCAGCACCUGUGUAGGCUCCCCUUGCGGAGUCGUUACCCUUUCAGGCUUCUACCACCUACAUGUCAAGGCCAGGUAAGGUUCUUCGCGUUGCAUCGAAUUAAGCCACAUACUCCACCGCUUGUGCAGGCCCCCGUCAAUUUCUUUGAGUUUUAGCCUUGCGGCCGUACUCCCCAGGCGGGGCGCUUAAUGCGUUAGCUACGGCACGGAUCCCGUGGAAGGAAACCCACACCUAGCGCCCACCGUUUACGGCGUGGACUAC